GACGAACGCUGGCGGCGUGCUUAACACAUGCAAGUCGAACGGGCCCGCUCUCUUUUUUGGGGGUGGGUUGAGUGGCGAACGGGUGAGUAUCCCGUGAGUAACCUGCCCCCUGCUCCUGGAUAACUGCUUGAAAGGGCGGCUAAUACGGGGUGUGCCGGCUGGUCCGCAUGGGCCUGGUCGGGGUAGUUUCAUCUUCGGGUGUUUCGGUGGGGGAUGGGCUCGCGGCCUAUCAGCUUGUUGGUGGGGUGAUGGCCCACCAAGGCGGUGACGGGUAGCCGGCCUGAGAGGGUGGGGGGCCACACGGGGACUGAGACACGGCCCAGACGACGGCGGGAGGCAGCAGUGGGGGGUAUUGCACAAUGGACGGAAGCCUGAUGCAGCGACGUCGCGUGAGGGAUGGAGGCCUUCGGGUGGUGAACCUCUUUCUCUGGUGGUGAAGGCCCUGUCCGUUGCGGCGGGGUUGACGGUAGCCGGGUAUGAAGCGCCGGCUAACUACGUG
RNAcentral lists this ribosomal RNA (499 nucleotides) under uncultured bacterium. Its description in RNAcentral is "partial 16S ribosomal RNA". It matches the Rfam family "Bacterial small subunit ribosomal RNA", at positions 28 to 507 of the family's 1533-position model. The record is from RNAcentral.